Molecule: ribosomal RNA, 451 nt
Filed under: uncultured bacterium
Lineage: Bacteria
Description: partial 16S ribosomal RNA
Rfam family: Bacterial small subunit ribosomal RNA
Source: RNAcentral
GUGGGGAAUAUUGGACGAUGGGGGGAACCCUGAUCCAGCCAUGCCGCGUGUGUGAAGAAGGCCUUUUGGUUGUAAAGCACUUUAAGCGAGGAGGAGGCUACCGAGAUUAAUACUCUUGGAUAGUGGACGUUACUCGCAGAAUAAGCACCGGCUAACUCUGUGCCAGCAGCCGCGGUAAUACAGAGGGUGCAAGCGUUAAUCGGAUUUACUGGGCGUAAAGCGCGCGUAGGUGGCCAAUUAAGUCAAAUGUGAAAUCCCCGAGCUUAACUUGGGAAUUGCAUUCGAUACUGGUUGGCUAGAGUAUGGGAGAGGAUGGUAGAAUUCCAGGUGUAGCGGUGAAAUGCGUAGAGAUCUGGAGGAAUACCGAUGGCGAAGGCAGCCAUCUGGCCUAAUACUGACACUGAGGUGCGAAAGCAUGGGGAGCAAACAGGAUUAGAUACCCGAGUAGUCC